This 406-nucleotide ribosomal RNA is filed under the name uncultured bacterium. RNAcentral's name for it is "partial 16S ribosomal RNA". It matches the Rfam family "Bacterial small subunit ribosomal RNA", at positions 30 to 526 of the family's 1533-position model. The record is from RNAcentral.
AUUGAACGCUGGCGGCAGGCCUAACACAUGCAAGUCGAGCGAGCGGCGGACGGGUGAGUAAUGUCUGGGAAACUGCCUGAUGGAGGGGGAUAACUACUGGAAACGGUAGCUAAUACCGCAUACCAUCAGAUGUGCCCAGAUGGGAUUGGCUAGUUUGUGGGGUAAAGGCCUACCAAGGCGACGAUCUGUAGCGGGUCUGAGAGGAGGAUCCGCCACACUGGGACUGAGACACGGCCCAGACUCCUUCUGGUAGCAGCAGUGGGGAAUAUUGGACAAUGGGGGGAACCCUUAACCAGCCAAGCCGCGUGUGUGAAGAAGGCCUUAUGGUUGUAAAGCACUUUAAGCGAGGGGGCGUUACUCGCAGAAUAAGCACCGGCUAACUCUGUGCCAGCAGCCGCGGUAAUAC